GAUGAACGCUGGCGGCGUGCCUAACACAUGCAAGUCGAGCGUGAUUCUAACAAAUGGAGACUUCGGUCAAAGUGAGUUAGAUGAAAGCGGCGGACGGGUGAGUAACGCGUGGGCAACCUGCCCCAUACACGGGAAUAGCCACUGGAAACGGUGAUUAAUGCCCGAUAAGACCACACUCCCACAUGGGAGAGCGGCCAAAGAUUUAUCGGUAUGGGAUGGGCCCGCGUCUGAUUAGCUAGUUGGUGAGGUAACGGCUCACCAAGGCGACGAUCAGUAACCGACCUGAGAGGGCGGACGGUCACACUGGAACUGAGACACGGUCCAGACUCCUACGGGAGGCUG
This 342-nucleotide ribosomal RNA is filed under the name uncultured Bacillota bacterium. RNAcentral's name for it is "bacterial SSU rRNA". It matches the Rfam family "Bacterial small subunit ribosomal RNA", at positions 28 to 351 of the family's 1533-position model. The record is from RNAcentral. Lineage: Bacteria; Bacillati; Bacillota.